Oncorhynchus tshawytscha (Chinook salmon) is the source of this 707-nucleotide long non-coding RNA. The record is from Ensembl. NCBI's taxonomy places the organism in Eukaryota, Metazoa, Chordata, Actinopteri, Salmoniformes, Salmonidae.
GCCAGCAGCUGAAGGCCAGUAGCUGAAGGCCAGCAGCUGAAGGCCAGUAGCUGAAGGCCAGCAGCUGAAGGCCAGCAGCUGAAGGCCAGCAGCUGAAGGCCAGCAGCUGAAGGCCAGCAGCUGAAGGCCAGCAGCUGAAGGCUAGUAGCUGAAGGCUAGUUGAAGGCCAGCAGCUGAAGGCUAGUUGAAGGCCAGUAGCUGAAGGCUAGUUGAAGGCCAACUAAAAGCCACUGGUUUAUGUCUGUAUGCUGCUCACUGUUCUAAAGAGUUAAGCCAUGAAGAAAACACCUUCCGUUUGAUUUUUUUAUUGAGGUGGAAAGCUGACAAAAUAAAUUAUGGUGAAUGAUGUUGAAUGACAUCCUGGUAUGAUAUGAAGAUACUAAUUAUUAUUUUUGAGAAUAUGUAUAUAGUUUGUAUGUUUCUGUAAAUACUACAUCCUCAGUUCACUGUGGUAUCACCCUGUUAAUUUUGUACAUUUUAAAACGUGAAAAAUAUGUUGUACAUAUUACAGAUUUGUUUUAUUUAUUUAUAUAUAUAUACACAUGUAUAAAUAUCUUGAUUGGAUGUUUUAUUUUCCUAAGCUCUCGUGUCUACUGUGAAUGGUUACACAGUUGUUAAUAUUGUCCCAUCAUCAUAACCAACCAACCAAUGUUCAUUAUCUUGAUUCAUUAUCCAUUGAAUCAUUAUCUUGGUUGUGUGAAUGACAC